This 445-nucleotide ribosomal RNA is filed under the name uncultured bacterium. Its description in RNAcentral is "bacterial SSU rRNA". It matches the Rfam family "Bacterial small subunit ribosomal RNA", at positions 54 to 475 of the family's 1533-position model. The record is from RNAcentral.
CAUGCAAGUCGAGCGAGAAACCGCCCUUCGGGGCGGGAGUACAGCGGCGCACGGGUGAGUAGCGCGUGGGUAAUCUACCUCUGUCUGGGGGAUAACACACCGAAAGGUGUGCUAAUACCGCAUAAUCCGGCGGGCCUGCGGGUCGGUCGGCAAAGGUGGCCUCUUGAUCAAAGCUGCCGGGUGGAGAUGAGCCCGCGUCCCAUUAGCUUGUUGGUAGGGUAACGGCCUACCAAGGCGACGAUGGGUAGCUGGUCUGAGAGGACGGCCAGCCACACUGGAACUGGAACACGGUCCAGACUCCUACGGGAGGCAGCAGUGAGGAAUAUUGCGCAAUGGGGGAAACCCUGACGCAGCGAUGCCGCGUGGGUGAAGAAGGCUUUCGGGUCGUAAAGCCCUGUCAGGUGGGAAGAACAGCCUCUCAUUGAAUAGGUGAGAGGUGUGACGG